UGCAGUCGAGCGAGUCUGCCUUGAAGAUCNGGAGUGCUUGCACUCUGUGAAACAAGAUACAGGCUAGCGGCGGACGGGUGAGUAACACGUGGGUAACCUGCCCAAGAGAUCGGGAUAACACCUGGAAACAGAUGCUAAUACCGGAUAACAACAGAUGAUGCCUAUCAACUGUUUAAAAGAUGGUUCUGCUAUCACUCUUGGAUGGACCUGCGGUGCAUUAGCUAGUUGGUAGGGUAACGGCCUACCAAGGCGAUGAUGCAUAGCCGAGUUGAGAGACUGAUCGGCCACAUUGGGACUGAGACACGGCCCAAACUCCUACGGGAGGCAGCAGUAGGGAAUCUUCCACAAUGGACGCAAGUCUGAUGGAGCAACGCCGCGUGAGUGAAGAAGGGUUUCGGCUCGUAAAGCUCUGUUGUUGGUGAAGAAGGACAGGGGUAGUAACUGACCUUUGUUUGACGGUAAUCAAUUAGAAAGUCACGGCUAACUACGUGCCAGCAGCCGCGGUAAUACGUAGGUGGCAAGCGUUGUCCGGAUUUAUUGGGCGUAAAGCGAGUGCAGGCGGCUCGAUAAGUCUGAUGUGAAAGCCUUCGGCUCAACCGGAGAAUUGCAUCAGAAACUGUCGAGCUUGAGUACAGAAGAGGAGAGUGGAACUCCAUGUGUAGCGGUGAAAUGCGUAGAUAUAUGGAAGAACACCGGUGGCGAAGGCGGCUCUCUGGUCUGUUACUGACGCUGAGGCUCGAAAGCAUGGGUAGCGAACAGGAUUAGAU
This 767-nucleotide ribosomal RNA is filed under the name Lactobacillus iners. RNAcentral describes it as "bacterial SSU rRNA". It matches the Rfam family "Bacterial small subunit ribosomal RNA", at positions 56 to 783 of the family's 1533-position model. The record is from RNAcentral. Lineage: Bacteria; Bacillati; Bacillota; Bacilli; Lactobacillales; Lactobacillaceae.